GACAGCAGUAGCCGCGGUAAUACGGAGGGUGCAAGCGUUAAUCGGAAUUACUGGGCGUAAAGCGCACGCAGGCGGUCUGACAAGUCAGAUGUGAAAUCCCCGGGCUUAACCUGGGAACUGCAUUUGAAACUGUCAGGCUGGAGUCUUGUAGAGGGGGGUGGAAUUCCAGGUGUAGCGGUGAAAUGCGUAGAGAUCUGGAGGAAUACCGGUGGCGAAGGCGGCCCCCUGGACAAAGACUGACGCUCAGGUGCGAAAGCGUGGGGAGCAAACAGGAUUAGAUACCCCUGUAGUCCCUGUCUCUUAUAA
Molecule: ribosomal RNA, 306 nt
Filed under: uncultured bacterium
Lineage: Bacteria
Description: partial 16S ribosomal RNA
Rfam family: Bacterial small subunit ribosomal RNA
Source: RNAcentral